UUUCAUUUGUUGUGGCCGACAUUCUUUUUCAAAAGUCGUUUGGAUUUUGUCCACCGAUGGGAUCAUCAAAAGGAUCAAAAGUAGAUUCGGAUGAUCCUGCUGGCUCCUCUAUUUUGUCUUCUUCUUUUGGCUUUUGUAAAUAGUUCAGAUAUUCUUUCAGCAUCUCGGGAUUCUGCAUAAUUUGCUUUAUCAAAAAGUUACUGGCUGUUUCUUCGGAUGCCAUUUCCGUCACUUUUUCUUUGUCUCUUUUUGGAGUGACUGGUGUAGUGGUUGGAAUGAUUGUUGACUGUCUU
Molecule: long non-coding RNA, 293 nt
Filed under: Coffea arabica (coffee)
Lineage: Eukaryota; Viridiplantae; Streptophyta; Magnoliopsida; Gentianales; Rubiaceae
Description: long non-coding RNA (CARA_LNC004732)
Source: RNAcentral